ACGGAGGGUGCAAGCGUUGUCCGGAUUUAUUGGGUUUAAAGGGUGCGUAGGUGGCUAUUUAAGUCAGUGGUGAAAGUCUGCAGCUCAACUGUAGAAUUGCCAUUGAUACUGAAUAGCUUGAGUAUUGAUGAGGUAGGCGGAAUUGAUAGUGUAGCGGUGAAAUGCAUAGAUAUUAUCAAGAACACCAAUUGCGAAGGCAGCUUACUAAGGAAUAACUGACACUGAGGCACGAAAGCGUGGGGAUCAAACAGG
This 252-nucleotide ribosomal RNA is filed under the name uncultured bacterium. RNAcentral's name for it is "partial 16S ribosomal RNA". It matches the Rfam family "Bacterial small subunit ribosomal RNA", at positions 525 to 776 of the family's 1533-position model. The record is from RNAcentral.